UUGGGCCUACGGGAGGCAGCAGUGAGGAAUAUUGGUCAAUGGGCGAGAGCCUGAACCAGCCAAGUCGCGUGAGGGAUGACUGCCCUAUGGGUUGUAAACCUCUUUUGUAUGGGGGGAAUAAGCUUUACGAGUAGAGUGAUGACAGUACCAUACGAAUAAGCAUCGGCUAACUCCGUGCCAGCAGCCGCGGUAAUACGGAGGAUGCGAGCGUUAUCCGGAUUUAUUGGGUGUAAAGGGGGCGCAGACGGCAAUGCAAGCCAGGAGUGAAAGCCCGGGGCCCAACCCCGGGACUGCUCUUGGAACUG
This 305-nucleotide ribosomal RNA is filed under the name uncultured bacterium. Its description in RNAcentral is "bacterial SSU rRNA". It matches the Rfam family "Bacterial small subunit ribosomal RNA", at positions 333 to 635 of the family's 1533-position model. The record is from RNAcentral.